GUGAUUGACACGUGAACUGCGUUGACACAGUCCAGGCUUCUAAUUGACACACCGGCUGCGUUGACACAGUCCAGGCUGCUAAUUGACACAUCGACUGUGUUGACACAGUCCAGGCUGCUAAUUGACACAUCGGCUGCGUUGACACAGUCCAGGCUGCUAAUUGACACGUGAACUGCACCGGUGCAGUUUAGACUGCAUCGGCUGCUUGGCACAGUACAGGCUGCGCCACUUAGUCCAGGGGGCGUCGACUCAGUGCAGAGGGCGUUGACGCAGCAAAAGCCCGCCACACAGUGUUUAUAAGGAACACCUGCCGAAACAAGCCAGACCUCACUCACGCUCGCUUGUCGAAGCUCGUGUCAGUGCAGACUUCGUGUUCGUGCCUUGCCUUCCUUGCCGAUUAUGGAGCAGAGACGCAAAUCAUCCGCCGUGUGGGACCAUUUUGAUGUCCCGGAGAAUAAGGUGAAAUGUCGAAUUGUCAUACACCAACAGAAGCACCUCCACCAUGCUGAGGCAUUAUCGGGCCAAGCAUGAGAAUGAAGUUCGCGAUACACCCAGUAUUACGCCAGGUUCCACGAAGCAGCUGUACUGGAAGGACCAACACACUUCUUUCCCAAACCUCUCCCACCUCGCAAAGGAGUUCCUUUGUACGCCAGCCUCAUCCGUCCCUUGUGAGCGUGUGUUCUCCACAGCAGGAGAAAUCGCUUGUAAAAGACGCAACAGGCUGAAGUUUAAAACAUUGGAGCAUCUUAUUUUUCUCAAUAAAAAUUUGUGAAAUAAAAGCCCACAAGCAUCCUCAUUCAAAUGAUCUUCACAUUAUUUGAACACAUUGAAUGUUGCAAAAUGAAUGCAUGGAUGUGAAUGAUAUUGUAUACACUUCAUCAUCAAAUCGAUGAAUGACCUUAUGAAAAUGUUUUGGAACAGUUGUAGAUGCAAAACCGUGCUGGC
This is a long non-coding RNA of Hippocampus zosterae (dwarf seahorse), 945 nucleotides long. RefSeq lists it as uncharacterized. Lineage: Eukaryota; Metazoa; Chordata; Actinopteri; Syngnathiformes; Syngnathidae. The transcript is spliced from 3 exons. The record is from RefSeq and is a predicted model, not a curated record.